RNAcentral lists this transfer RNA (75 nucleotides) under Alkalihalophilus pseudofirmus. Its description in RNAcentral is "Bacillus pseudofirmus tRNA-Asn". It matches the Rfam family "tRNA". Rfam says of the family: Transfer RNA (tRNA) molecules are approximately 80 nucleotides in length. The record is from RNAcentral. Lineage: Bacteria; Bacillati; Bacillota; Bacilli; Caryophanales; Bacillaceae.
UCCACAGUAGCUCAGUGGUUGAGCAAUCGGCUGUUAACCGAUCGGUCGUAGGUUCGAGUCCUACCUGUGGAGCCA